AUCCCUUCUAGGUCUUUUGGCUAAGAUCAAGUGUAGAAUCUGUUUUUAUCAGUUUAAUAUCUGGUACUUCCUCUAUCCCAGGACAACAUAUUAAGUGGAUUUUUGGAGCAGGGAGAUGGUUGAAAAUAAUAUACACAUGCUUAAUGUUGACCGUUUGAUCCUGCUAAUCAGAUGUUCUGCAUAAAACUG
Small nuclear RNA from Gorilla gorilla gorilla (western lowland gorilla), 189 nucleotides. Its record names the gene U2. It matches the Rfam family "U2 spliceosomal RNA". Rfam says of the family: U2 is a small nuclear RNA (snRNA) component of the spliceosome (involved in pre-mRNA splicing). Complementary binding between U2 snRNA (in an area lying towards the 5' end but 3' to hairpin I) and the branchpoint sequence (BPS) of the intron results the bulging out of an unpaired adenosine, on the BPS, which initiates a nucleophilic attack at the intronic 5' splice site, thus starting the first of two transesterification reactions that mediate splicing. The record is from Ensembl. NCBI's taxonomy places the organism in Eukaryota, Metazoa, Chordata, Mammalia, Primates, Hominidae.